RNAcentral lists this ribosomal RNA (253 nucleotides) under uncultured bacterium. Its description in RNAcentral is "partial 16S ribosomal RNA". It matches the Rfam family "Bacterial small subunit ribosomal RNA", at positions 524 to 776 of the family's 1533-position model. The record is from RNAcentral.
UACAGGGGGUGCAAACGUUGCUCGGAAUUAUUGGGCGUAAAGCGCGCGUAGGCGGCCACUUAAGUCGGAUGUGAAAGCCCCUGGCUCAACUGGGGAAGUGCACCCGAAACUGAGCGGCUUGAAUGCAAAAGAGGGUCGCGGAAUUCCCGGUGUAGAGGUGAAAUUCGUAGAUAUCGGGAGGAGCACCGGUGGCGAAGGCGGCGACCUGGGUUGACAUUGACGCUGAGGCGCGAAAGCGUGGGGAGCAAACAGG